UUCACAAAUAAACAUUUUUUUCACUGCAUUCUAGUUGUGGUUUGUCC
RNAcentral lists this unclassified non-coding RNA (47 nucleotides) under Betapolyomavirus macacae. RNAcentral describes it as "PAS RNA from Macaca mulatta polyomavirus 1 (PDB 6URO, chain D)". Lineage: Floreoviria; Shotokuvirae; Cossaviricota; Papovaviricetes; Sepolyvirales; Polyomaviridae. The record is from RNAcentral.